RNAcentral lists this ribosomal RNA (468 nucleotides) under uncultured bacterium. RNAcentral describes it as "partial 16S ribosomal RNA". It matches the Rfam family "Bacterial small subunit ribosomal RNA", at positions 28 to 507 of the family's 1533-position model. The record is from RNAcentral.
GACGAACGCUGGCGGCGUGCUUAACACAUGCAAGUCGAACGGAAAGGCCCUGCUGUUGUGCGGCGCUCGAGUGGCGAGCGGGUGAGAAACACGUGAGUAACCUGCCCUUGACUGUGGGAUAACUUCAGGAAACUGGGGCUAAUACCCGAUAGGAGCUCCUGCUGCAUGGGGGGGGUUGGAAAGUUCCGGCGGUUGGGGAUGGACUCGCGGCUUAUCAGCUUGUUGGUUGGGUAGUGGCCUACCAAGGCUUUGACGGGUAGCCGGCCUGAGAGGGGGGCCGGCCACCAGAGGCCUACGAGAGGCACCAGACGCGAACGGUGGGCAAUGGGGGGAAGUAUUACACAGUGAGCGGGCGCGUGAUGCGACGACGCCCGGUGCGGAAAGAGGGCUUUCGGGUUAUAAACAGCUUUCUCCUGUGACAAGGCGUGCGUGACGGUACCGGGUGAAGAAGCACCGGCUAACUACGUG